GACGAAGGUGGCGAGCGUUGUUCGGAAUCACUGGGCAUAAAGCGCACGUAGGCGGCUAGGUAAGUCGGAUGUGAAAUACCUCGGCUCAACCGAGGAACUGCGUCCGAUACUGCCUGGCCUGAGGUCCGGAGGGGAGAGUGGAAUUCCCGGUGGAGCGGUGAAAUGCGUAGAGAUCGGGAAGAACGCCGGCGGCGAAAGCGACUCUCUGAUCGGAAUCUGACGCUGAGGUGCGAAAGCUAGGGGAGCAAACGGG
This 253-nucleotide ribosomal RNA is filed under the name uncultured bacterium. Its description in RNAcentral is "partial 16S ribosomal RNA". It matches the Rfam family "Bacterial small subunit ribosomal RNA", at positions 524 to 776 of the family's 1533-position model. The record is from RNAcentral.